This 588-nucleotide ribosomal RNA is filed under the name uncultured bacterium. RNAcentral describes it as "partial 16S ribosomal RNA". It matches the Rfam family "Bacterial small subunit ribosomal RNA", at positions 355 to 1376 of the family's 1533-position model. The record is from RNAcentral.
UGGGGAAUUUUGGACAAUGGGCGAAAGCCUGAUCCAGCAAUGCCGCGUGUGUGAAGAAGGCCUUCGGGUUGUAAAGCACUUUUGUCCGGAAAGAGAUCCUUGGCUCUAAUACAGUCGGGGGAUGACGGUACCGGAAGAAUAAGCACCGGCUAACUACGUGCCAGCAGCCGCGGUAAUACGUAGGGUGCAAGCGUUAAUCGGAAUUACUGGGCGUAAAGCGUGCGCAGGCGGUUUGCUAAGACCGAUGUGAAAUCCCCGGGCUCAACCUGGGAACUGCAUUGGUGACUGGCAGGCUAGAGUAUGGCAGAGGGGGGUAGAAUUCCACGUGUAGCAGUGAAAUGCGUAGAGAUGUGGAGGAAUACCGAUGGCGAAGGCAGCCCCCUGGGCCAAUACUGACGCUCAUGCACGAAAGCGUGGGGAGCAAACAGGAUUAGAUACCCUGGUAGUCCACGCCCUAAACGAUGUCAACUAGUUGUUGGGGGAUUCAUUUCCUUAGUAACGUAGCUAACGCGUGAAGUUGACCGCCUGGGGAGUACGGUCGCAAGAUUAAAACUCAAAAUGAAUUGACGGGGUCAUAGCUGUUUCCUG